CCUACGGGUGGCAGCAGUAGGGAAUAUUGCUCAAUGGGGGAAACCCUGAAGCAGCAACGCCGCGUGGAGGAUGAAGGUUUUCGGAUUGUAAACUCCUUUUGUUAGAGAAGAUAAUGACGGUAUCUAACGAAUAAGCACCGGCUAACUCCGUGCCAGCAGCCGCGGUAAUACGGAGGGUGCAAGCGUUACUCGGAAUCACUGGGCGUAAAGAGCGCGUAGGCGGGAUAGCAAGUCAGAUGUGAAAUCCUAGGGCUUAACCAUAGAACUGCAUUUGAAACUGUUAUUCUAGAGUAUGGGAGAGGUAGGUGGAAUGGUUGGUGUAGGGGUAAAAUCCGUAGAGAUCAAGAAGAAUACUCAUUGCGAAGGCGACCUGCUAGAACAUAACUGACGCUGAUGCGCGAAAGCGUGGGGAGCAAACAGGAUUAGAUACCCCUGUAGUC
RNAcentral lists this ribosomal RNA (440 nucleotides) under uncultured bacterium. RNAcentral's name for it is "partial 16S ribosomal RNA". It matches the Rfam family "Bacterial small subunit ribosomal RNA", at positions 338 to 795 of the family's 1533-position model. The record is from RNAcentral.